Molecule: ribosomal RNA, 506 nt
Filed under: uncultured bacterium
Lineage: Bacteria
Description: partial 16S ribosomal RNA
Rfam family: Bacterial small subunit ribosomal RNA
Source: RNAcentral
AGUGAUCGCUGGCGGUAGGCCUAACACAUGCAAGUCGAACGGCAGCACAGGAGAGCUUGCUCUCUGGGUGGCGAGUGGCGGACGGGUGAGGAAUACAUCAGAAUCUACUUUUUCGUGGGGGAUAACGUAGGGAAACUUACGCUAAUACCGCAUACGACCUACGGGUGAAAGCAGGGGAUCUUCGGACCUUGCGCGAUUGAAUGAGCCGAUGUCGGAUUAGCUAGUUGGCGGGGUAAAGGCCCACCAAGGCGACGAUCCGUAGCUGGUCGGAUGGGAGGAGCAGCCAACCGGGAAGUGGGACACGGUCCAGACUCCUACGGAAGGCAGCAGUAGGGAAUUUUGGACAAUGGGCGCAAGCCUGAUCCAGCCAUACCGGGUGGGUGAAGAAGGCCUUCGGGUUGUAAAGCCCUUUUGUUGGGAAAGAAAUCCAGCUGGUUAAUACCCGGUUGGGAUGACGGUACCCAAAGAAUAAGCACCGGCUAACUUCGUGCCAGCCGCCGCCGUAA